Long non-coding RNA from Ruditapes philippinarum (Manila clam), 408 nucleotides. RefSeq lists it as uncharacterized. The transcript has 3 exons. NCBI's taxonomy places the organism in Eukaryota, Metazoa, Mollusca, Bivalvia, Venerida, Veneridae. The record is from RefSeq and is a predicted model, not a curated record.
CAUUAUCACCGACCUUAGCAUAAAUCCGUGGCAUUAUUAAUGCUAAAUGCUUAUUACACAAACGGUAUCUAGGCAUAUCACGCGUUUUCAAAACAGCCAAUGAGUUUAAAGCGUUGGUUUUGUAUCACGUGAAUCCUAUCAACCAAUCAGAAAUAGCGCGGGCGAAAUGAAAAAAGAAAAAACGGGAUUGGAAAUGGAUAGUAAAUAAAAAUUCAGAAUAUUGCAAACAAGGACAGUUAAAUCUUCUAGAAAUGCAGCUGUGCCCUCUUUACAGCAAUUGUAGAUGAAGAAAAGUAUGGUAGCAAGUUAUAUAGAUAUACACACAUGCCGAAGAAGAUUGUAAUAUCUGGAGAUAACAUUUCCUACGUCACGAAAUAGACACCGUCACACUGGUCUACGUAGCAUUCC